AUUCUGUUAUAGUCCCACAAAUCGCUAUUGCGCUGGAACCAUGUCUCAUUCACAUCGAAAUGACGUCAUUUUUACGUCAGCCGAAAUAAAUAAAAAACACCAUCAGCUCGAAACUUCAGUCUAGUGCUGACGUCACUAAAACGGCGGCCACGCGCAUUAGCAAUUUGCAGGACUUAUAAAAUAAA
Maniola jurtina (meadow brown) is the source of this 185-nucleotide long non-coding RNA. RefSeq lists it as uncharacterized. The transcript is spliced from 3 exons. The record is from RefSeq and is a predicted model, not a curated record. NCBI's taxonomy places the organism in Eukaryota, Metazoa, Arthropoda, Insecta, Lepidoptera, Nymphalidae.